UACGUAGGGGGCGAGCGUUGUCCGGAUUUAUUGGGCGUAAAGAGCGUGUAGGCGGCCAGGUAGGUCGGUUGUGAAAACUGGAGGCUCAACCUUCAGAGGUCGACCGAAACCAUCUGGCUAGAGUCCGGGAGAGGAGAGUGGAAUUCCUGGUGUAGCGGUGAAAUGCGCAGAUAUCAGGAAGAACACCCGUGGCGAAAGCGGCUCUCUGGAACGGUACUGACGCUGAGACGCGAAAGCGUGGGGAGCGAACAGG
RNAcentral lists this ribosomal RNA (253 nucleotides) under uncultured bacterium. RNAcentral's name for it is "partial 16S ribosomal RNA". It matches the Rfam family "Bacterial small subunit ribosomal RNA", at positions 524 to 776 of the family's 1533-position model. The record is from RNAcentral.